UACAUACAAGGGCAAACCCGCCGAAAGACGGGGGCGCAAAGCCAGGGCCUAAAGCACUGCUAUGGCCGACCGGCUGCUAUG
RNAcentral lists this non-coding RNA (81 nucleotides) under Acidaminobacter hydrogenoformans DSM 2784. RNAcentral describes it as "c-di-GMP-I riboswitch aptamer". It matches the Rfam family "c-di-GMP-I riboswitch aptamer". Rfam says of the family: GEMM was predicted in a large-scale screen for bacterial structured RNA regulatory elements. Lineage: Bacteria; Bacillati; Bacillota; Clostridia; Peptostreptococcales; Acidaminobacteraceae. The record is from Rfam by way of RNAcentral.